This 440-nucleotide ribosomal RNA is filed under the name uncultured bacterium. Its description in RNAcentral is "partial 16S ribosomal RNA". It matches the Rfam family "Bacterial small subunit ribosomal RNA", at positions 338 to 795 of the family's 1533-position model. The record is from RNAcentral.
CCUACGGGAGGCAGCAGUGGGGAAUAUUGCACAAUGGGGGGAACCCUGAUGCAGCAACGCCGCGUGGGUGAAGAAGUACUUCGGUAUGUAAAGCUCUGUCAGCAGGGAAGAAAAUGACGGUACAUGACCAAGAAGCCCCGGCUAACUACGUGCCAGCAGCCGCGGUAAUACGUAGGGGGCAAGCGUUAUCCGGAUUUACUGGGUGUAAAGGGAGCGUAGACGGCAAGGCAAGUCUGGAGUGAAAGGCCGUGGCUCAACCACGGGACUGCUUUGGAAACUGUGUUGCUGGAGUGCAGGAGGGGUAAGCGGAAUUCCUAGUGUAGCGGUGAAAUGUGUAGAUAUUAGGAGGAACACCGGUGGCGAAGGCGGCUUACUGGACUGUAACUGACGUUGAGGCUCGAAGGCGUGGGGAGCAAACAGGAUUAGAUACCCCAGUAGUC